Molecule: ribosomal RNA, 460 nt
Filed under: uncultured bacterium
Lineage: Bacteria
Description: partial 16S ribosomal RNA
Rfam family: Bacterial small subunit ribosomal RNA
Source: RNAcentral
CCUACGGGGGGCUGCAGUGAGGAAUAUUGGUCAAUGGACGAGAGUCUGAACCAGCCAAGUAGCGUGAAGGAUGACUGCCCUAUGGGUUGUAAACUUCUUUUAUAUGGGAAUAAAAUGUUCCACGUGUGGGAUUUUGUAUGUACCAUAUGAAUAAGGAUCGGCUAACUCCGUGCCAGCAGCCGCGGUAAUACGGAGGAUCCGAGCGUUAUCCGGAUUUAUUGGGUUUAAAGGGAGCGUAGGUGGAUUGUUAAGUCAGUUGUGAAAGUUUGCGGCUCAACCGUAAAAUUGCAGUUGAGACUGGCAGUCUUGAGUACAGUAGAGGUAGGCGGAAUUCGUGGUGUAGCGGUGAAAUGCUUAGAUAUCACGAAGAACUCCGAUUGCGAAGGCAGUUCACUGAACUGCAACUGACACUGAGGCUCGAAAGUGUGGGUAUCAAACAGGAUUAGAUACCCGUGUAGUC